RNAcentral lists this ribosomal RNA (119 nucleotides) under Triticum aestivum (bread wheat). The record is from RNAcentral. Lineage: Eukaryota; Viridiplantae; Streptophyta; Magnoliopsida; Poales; Poaceae.
GGAUGCGAUCAUACCAGCACUAAAGCAUCGGAUCCCAUCAGAACUCCGAAGUUAAGCGUUCUUGGGCGAGAGUAGUACUAGGAUGGGUGACCUCCUGGGAAGUCCUCGAGUUGCAUUCC